CCAAUAUAACAUUGAGCUCAUAAACACAUGAUGAAACGCAGUCUCUUUUUGAUGACUCAAAACAGCCAUGAUUACUGCAUUCCUUUAAAAGGAGCUUUGGAAAUAGUUUUGUUUUCAUGUCAGGAGCGUGAAGCCACAAGGCUAUAUAAAGCAAGGAUUUAUUGGAAGGACAUUGCCACACUGCUGGGAGGAGGGAAUGGGCAUCGCACUGUAUUUCUAUAAUCCUUCCUACCUGAAAUGGUCAUGGAGCAAAUAUAAACACGGUUACAAUCGACCUUUUACAACAAAAUCUAUUUGCAAGCGUUAUUAUGCUGAUGGGAAUGCUAUCGAGCUGCUCUCUCCCCCAUUCGUGUUUUGUUUCAUAUGGCUUGUCUAGAAGAUUCUGUAAAACGCUUCCCCUUCCCUUGACUUGUAAUAUUCUCGUUCACAAAAAAAAAAAAUAUGUAUAUGGUUGUAUUUUAUUAAGGAAGAAGAGGAGAGGAAGAGAAAAAGUGGAAGGCCUCUCUCUCAGUUUGUUGCUUAUAUACCAAACAAAGAGUCCUGGAAGCCUGUGCGCGAUCAAUCUUACUCGCCAAAAGGUCUGACAGCUCGGUGCCCUCACAACACAUUUAAGGCUUCUAACUCUCCCCCGGAUCAAAUUCAGCCAGGAAGCGUCGAGAAACAGUGGUCACUCAGAUUAGAACCAGUUUCUGCUCGCACUGCUAGUCUGUUUUUCGCUGGAGGGAUUUUUUUUCCUUAGGAACAAGAGAAAAAAGAGGAAUCUGGUCACACAAGAUGCGACCAUUUCCUCUCUGAGAGCCAUCGAACCCUCCACGAAGACCCGGUUGACAUUUUUAUUAUUAUGGAUGUGCCCACGCAGAUGAGAGAGACGCGCUGAGGGAAAAAAAAAGAGGGAGCCCACCCCCGAGAAUGAGAGUAAAUAGAUCAAAUGUUUGGUAUUUUAGCUGUAAGUUGUUCUUGUUUAUUGAAUAAAACCGUUUCACUAUUU
This is a long non-coding RNA of Cyprinodon tularosa, 988 nucleotides long. RefSeq lists it as uncharacterized. Lineage: Eukaryota; Metazoa; Chordata; Actinopteri; Cyprinodontiformes; Cyprinodontidae. The transcript is spliced from 2 exons. The record is from RefSeq and is a predicted model, not a curated record.